AUGGCCUCCAGCUCAGGGCUGUCCAUGUGAGAAGUGAAUCUGAGAAGAGAAGAGCAGACACUUGAAGAGAGAGAAGAGUUUCCCACAGAGCAUGGCCUCUACCAAAGAAGAUGGUGUGGAUGAAAUAACUGUGGACAUUAAAGAAGAGGACUAUGAGUGGCUUACACCAGAGGAUGUGUGUGUGAAGCUGGAGGAUCACGAAGAAAGAAUUUCAGUUUUCAAAGAAGAGGAGUACAACGGGGUGACUGCCGCCAUUAAAGCUGAGGAUUUUAAUGAUUUCUCCAUUGGUCUUGAACUUCAAAAGCAUGAAACUGAGGAUAUUUUCAAGCAAGAGGCCUGUGAAGAAUCUCCAUCCAGUUUACAGCCCUGGUCCACUAAUACGGGACGACUGGCUACACAGGAAAAUUUUGCAGAGCUGAAAUCAGAGUUAUCAGAGUCUGAAGAGAAAAUCACCGAAGGAAAUGGGAGAGAAGGAGAAGAGUCACCUGGGAGUGUUGGAAUAAAUUUACAGAAGAAUGGCUGCAUCUAUCCACCUUUAUUUGGUCAGCCCACUCCUCAAUGCAAAGAGGAAAGUAUGAAGAAAUCAGCAAGAGGAUCAGAGAACCUGACAGCAGCCUUUUUGCAGUGCAGUUCUCUCCCUGCUGCUGGAGUAACACAGACAGAAGCCAUCAAAACUGAUCGACAGCAAGUGGAGAAAGAAAUCCAAAUUCACACUGUUAAAAAAUGCUUUUUGGAAUGUGACAAACAAUUCACACACACAAGUGAUCUUAAUAAGUAUAUCAAGAUUCACACAGGAGAAAAACCUCAUUACUGUUCAGAAUGUGGUAUGUUGUUUUCAAGCAGAAGCAAUCUUCAGAAACACAGAAGAAGCCACACAGGAGAAAAACCUCAUUGUUGUAAAAAAUGUGGAAAGUCGUUCUUAAGGAGAAGCUCUCUUCGGAGACACAGAACAAUACACACUGGAUUAAAACCUCAUUGUUGUGCAGAAUGUGGCAAGUCGUUCUCAUGUAUAAGCUAUCUUCAGAGGCACAGAAGAAUCCACACAGGAGAAAAACCUCAUUCCUGUCCAGAAUGUGGUAAGUCUUUCUUAAGGAGAAACUCUCUUCAGAGACACAGAAGAAUCCACACAAGAGAAAAACCUGAUUGCUAUCCAGAGUGUGGGAAACGAUUCUCACGUCCAAGUGCCACAGAUGGAUCCACACUGGAGAGAAGCAGUACACCUGUUCUGAAUGUGGUAAAGGGUACUCUUCCAGAAAAAGUUUUUGGAGGCACACGCAAAGUCAUAUUGGAGUAAAGCCUGUCCCAGAAUAGACAAAUAAUCAUUCAUUUUGCUCAUCAACCAAAAAUAUUGAAGACAAAUCUUCUGAAAGAGGUAAAGGACUCCAGUUGAAAGUAGUUAAUAAGUACAUAAGAAUAGUGGAGAAAACACUGAAAGUGGCAAACAGAUCGUAGAUGUAAGGUAACCUCAGAGCCACAUAUGAAUUAACACUGGAAUACAACACAUUUCACAAACAGCAAGAAUCUUCUUCAAUAUCUUACAGGUGCAAGAAAAAUCUCAUUGUUGUCCUAAAUGUGGUUAACACUUUUCAUACAGCAGUGGCCUUCAUAUUCAUAAAUGACUGGCCUACUUGUGGUAAGCCUCUUAGCUGUUCUGAAUGUUGAAAUGGUCCUCCUGUAUCAGCCGUCAUCAGCAACACAUAAGAUUUCAUGAAGGACUCAGAAACUGUACUGCCAGGACGUCAGCCAUACAGGGACUGAUCAUCUCUGCACCAGUGCUGUGACAUAAGAUGCUGAACAAUACAAACAGCAGACCACAG
This is an RNA transcript of Erpetoichthys calabaricus (reedfish), 1817 nucleotides long. It is a transcript of the gene named zinc finger protein 568-like, with no coding region annotated. The record is from RefSeq and is a predicted model, not a curated record. The transcript has 4 exons. Lineage: Eukaryota; Metazoa; Chordata; Cladistia; Polypteriformes; Polypteridae.